Molecule: ribosomal RNA, 704 nt
Filed under: Fredericella browni
Lineage: Eukaryota; Metazoa; Bryozoa; Phylactolaemata; Fredericellidae
Description: partial 16S ribosomal RNA
Source: RNAcentral
ACACAAAAAGCUUGCCCAUCACCCAAAGAUUCAUUUAGAUAAUCAUAAAUUAUAAGAAGUAUUGGAGAUAGAAACUUAGAAAGGAGCUAUAGAAUAAAAGUAUCGUAAGAGAAGGCGAGAAAUAGUAAUAAGAAGAGAUAAAACCUCGUCCCUUGUGUAUCAUGGCUUAGCAACCUAAUCCUUUAAAUUAACAUUCCCGAAGCUCAAUGAGCUACCAAUCCCUAGUUUGGAACCCAUCAGUCCUUGUGGAAAAAAGGUUGAAAGAGGCCUUGGUAGAGACAAUAUAUCUGUCGCAUUGAGAAAUAGCUGGUUUCCAGGGAAAUAUAUCGAAGUAUAAGAGGGUUAACACCCUUCUUCCUGCUCAGGGGACAACCUCUUAGCAGAAUUCACUUUGUGAGAUAUAACCCUAAUCAUAAUCUGGGCUUAAAAUCAGCCUUGAUCUUAAAACAAGUUACAUUGUAAUGAGAAAUGGGGGUAUAAUUAUAAAUCCACAAUUCCAGAGUACCUGGGGAUUCUGACCAAUACAAAUCAGAAGACACUAUGCUAAGACGAGUAUAGCUACCCUUAAACAAAGUAAAGGGGUAACUUAACAAAUAAAGAUAAGGAAUUCGGCAAACAAAAGCUCUGACUGUUUAUCAAAAACAUAGCCAUUCGAACUUACGGAUGGUAAAACCUGCCCAGUGGUAAAUCUUAACGGCUGCCGG